RNAcentral lists this ribosomal RNA (507 nucleotides) under uncultured bacterium. Its description in RNAcentral is "bacterial SSU rRNA". It matches the Rfam family "Bacterial small subunit ribosomal RNA", at positions 15 to 518 of the family's 1533-position model. The record is from RNAcentral.
GAUUAUGGCUCAGGAUGAACGCUGGCGGCGUGCCUAACACAUGCAAAGUCGAACGAAGCAUAUCUAACGGAGAUUCGUCGAAGCUGGAUAUGACUUAGUGGCGGACGGGUGAGUAAUGUAUGAGCAACCUGCCUUUCAGAGGGGGACAACAGUUGGAAACGACUGCUAAUACCGCAUAACGUAUUUGGGUGGCAUCACCUGGAUACCAAAGGAGCAAUCCGCUGAAAGAUGGGCUCAUAUCUGAUUAGCUUGUUGGCGGGGUAACGGCCCACCAAGGCGACGAUCAGUAGCCGGACUGAGAGGUUGAACGGCCACAUUGGGACUGAGAUACGGCCCAGACUCCUACGGGAGGCAGCAGUGGGGAAUAUUGGGCAAUGGGCGAAAGCCUGACCCAGCAACGCCGCGUGAAGGAAGAAGGUCUUCGGAUUGUAAACUUCUUUUAUGAGGGACGAAGGACGUGACGGUACCUCAUGAAUAAGCCACGGCUAACUACGUGCCAGCAGCGGC